This is a long non-coding RNA of Salvia hispanica, 436 nucleotides long. RefSeq lists it as uncharacterized. NCBI's taxonomy places the organism in Eukaryota, Viridiplantae, Streptophyta, Magnoliopsida, Lamiales, Lamiaceae. The record is from RefSeq and is a predicted model, not a curated record.
UCCAAAUUUAUUUUUAAUCUCAUGGGGAAACCUACAGUCUUAAAUUAAACCCCAUUCUAUUUUUCCUUCCAAACUUUGAAACAAAAGUGGAGAAGAAAAAGGGUCUCUCCUCUCCUUAUAGUGAUGGCAUGGUUUCAUUCUCUUCUUUCUCCAUUGAAGAAAUUCUGGGGCAGAUUCCGGGAGACCCGAAGAACGCGGCGUGGGAUAUAUGUAUUGUACGAGGAUGUGAAGUCGUGUUCGUGCGAAGAUGUGCACGCACUGUGGACGCUGCUGGUUGAUUCGGAUGCAAAUUUUACUUAGACGCAUUCAAAUGCUUAAUACUGGUUAAAAUUUUCUAUAAUUUAGUUUGUUUUGUUUGAUCUUAGUAAUGUUACUGGCGUACAGAAUUUGCGAUGAUAUCUCAGAAACAGGUUUAUUUUUUUUUUUUUUUUUUUUU